AGAGUUUGAUUAUGGCUCAGGACGAACGCUGGCGGCGCGCCUAACACAUGCAAGUCGAACGAAGGAUAUUUUAUGAAAUUUUCGAAUGGAAUGAAAUAGACUUAGUGGCGGACGGGUGAGUAACACGUGAGCAACCUGCCUAACAGAGGGGGAUAACGUUUGGAAACGAACGCUAAUACCGCAUAACAUGUAUCUAUGGCAUCAUAGAUAGAUCAAAGGAGAAAUCCGCUGAUAGAUGGGCUCGCGUCCGAUUAGCCAGUUGGCGGGGUAACGGCCCACCAAAGCAACGAUCGGUAGCCGGACUGAGAGGUUGAACGGCCACAUUGGGACUGAGACACGGCCCAGACUCCUACGGGAGGCAGCAGUGGGGGAUAUUGGUCAAUGGGGGAAACCCUGAACCAGCGACGCCGCGUGAGGGAAGAAGGUUUUCGGAUUGUAAACCUCUGUCCUCGGUGAAGAUAAUGACGGUAGCCGAGGAGGAAGCUCCGGCUAACUACGUGCCAGCAGCCGCGGUAAUACGUAGGGAGCAAGCGUUGUCCGGAAUUACUGGGUGUAAAGGGAGCGUANGCGGGGAUGCAAGUUGAAUGUUUAAACUAUCGGCUCAACCGGUAGUCGCGUUCAAAACUGCAUUUCUUGAGUGAAGUAGAGGUAGGCGGAAUUCCUAG
This 665-nucleotide ribosomal RNA is filed under the name uncultured bacterium. RNAcentral's name for it is "bacterial SSU rRNA". It matches the Rfam family "Bacterial small subunit ribosomal RNA", at positions 8 to 673 of the family's 1533-position model. The record is from RNAcentral.